This 484-nucleotide ribosomal RNA is filed under the name uncultured bacterium. RNAcentral describes it as "partial 16S ribosomal RNA". It matches the Rfam family "Bacterial small subunit ribosomal RNA", at positions 30 to 507 of the family's 1533-position model. The record is from RNAcentral.
AUUGAACGCUGGCGGCAGGCCUAACACAUGCAAGUCGAGCGGAUGAAGGGAGCUUGCUCCUGGAUUCAGCGGCGGACGGGUGAGUAAUGCCUAGGAAUCUGCCUGGUAGUGGGGGAUAACGUCCGGAAACGGGCGCUAAUACCGCAUACGUCCUGAGGGAGAAAGUGGGGGAUCUUCGGACCUCACGCUAUCAGAUGAGCCUAGGUCGGAUUAGCUAGUUGGUGGGGUAAAGGCCUACCAAGGCGACGAUCCGUAACUGGUCUGAGAGGAUGAUCAGUCACACUGGAACUGAGACACGGUCCAGACUCCUACGGGAGGCAGCAGUGGGGAAUAUUGGACAAUGGGCGAAAGCCUGAUCCAGCCAUGCCGCGUGUGUGAAGAAGGUCUUCAGAUUGUAAAGCACUUUAAGUUGGGAGGAAGGGCAGUAAGUUAAUACCUUGCUGUUUUGACGUUACCAACAGAAUAAGCACCGGCUAACUUCGCG